UACGGAGGGGGCUAGCGUUGUUCGGAAUUACUGGGCGUAAAGCGCACGUAGGCGGACCAGCAAGUUGGGGGUGAAAUCCCGGGGCUCAACCCCGGAACUGCCUUCAAAACUGCGGGUCUGGAGGUCGAGAGAGGUGAGUGGAAUUCCGAGUGUAGAGGUGAAAUUCGUAGAUAUUCGGAGGAACACCAGUGGCGAAGGCGGCUCACUGGCUCGAACCUGACGCUGAGGUGCGAAAGCGUGGGGAGCAAACAGG
RNAcentral lists this ribosomal RNA (253 nucleotides) under uncultured bacterium. Its description in RNAcentral is "partial 16S ribosomal RNA". It matches the Rfam family "Bacterial small subunit ribosomal RNA", at positions 524 to 776 of the family's 1533-position model. The record is from RNAcentral.